Molecule: small nucleolar RNA, 101 nt
Filed under: Oryza sativa (Asian cultivated rice)
Lineage: Eukaryota; Viridiplantae; Streptophyta; Magnoliopsida; Poales; Poaceae
Description: Z157b small nucleolar RNA
Rfam family: Small nucleolar RNA Z157/R69/R10
About the family: Z157, R69 and R10 are members of the C/D class of snoRNA which contain the C (UGAUGA) and D (CUGA) box motifs. Most of the members of the box C/D family function in directing site-specific 2'-O-methylation of substrate RNAs.
Source: RNAcentral
AUAUGGGAGUGAUGAAGAACAAUUUUUAUUUGGACUAGAGUUUCUGAUACUGCUACUUUGUGGUAGUUGAAGACUAAACCCUUGGCUGUCUGAACUUCCAU